GACGUGUUAGCUUAAUGGUAGAGUAGUGUGCUACGGACACAUUUAUGUAAGUUCAAGUCUUACACACGUUU
RNAcentral lists this transfer RNA (71 nucleotides) under Mycosphaerella sp. Ston1. RNAcentral's name for it is "tRNA-Arg (ACG) (tRNA-Arg-ACG-1-1)". It matches the Rfam family "tRNA". From Rfam's summary of the family: Transfer RNA (tRNA) molecules are approximately 80 nucleotides in length. Their secondary structure includes four short double-helical elements and three loops (D, anti-codon, and T loops). Lineage: Eukaryota; Fungi; Ascomycota; Dothideomycetes; Mycosphaerellales; Mycosphaerellaceae. The record is from RNAcentral.